UACAGAGGUCUCAACCGUUGUUCGGAUUCAUUGGGCGUAAAGGGUGCGUAGGUGGCGCUGUAAGUCGGGUGUGAAAUUUCGGAGCUUAACUCCGAAACUGCAUUCGAUACUGCGGUGCUUGAGGACUGGAGAGGAGACUGGAAUUCAUGGUGUAGCAGUGAAAUGCGUAGAGAUCAUGAGGAAGACCAGUGGCGAAGGCGGGUCUCUGGACAGUUCCUGACACUGAGGCACGAAGGCCAGGGGAGCAAACGGG
This 253-nucleotide ribosomal RNA is filed under the name uncultured bacterium. Its description in RNAcentral is "partial 16S ribosomal RNA". It matches the Rfam family "Bacterial small subunit ribosomal RNA", at positions 524 to 776 of the family's 1533-position model. The record is from RNAcentral.